This 538-nucleotide ribosomal RNA is filed under the name uncultured bacterium. RNAcentral describes it as "partial 16S ribosomal RNA". It matches the Rfam family "Bacterial small subunit ribosomal RNA", at positions 355 to 881 of the family's 1533-position model. The record is from RNAcentral.
UGGGGAAUAUUGCACAAUGGGCGCAAGCCUGAUGCAGCCAUGCCGCGUGUGUGAAGAAGGCCUUCGGGUUGUAAAGCACUUUCAGCGAGGAGGAAGGUGGUGAACUUAAUACGUUCAUCAAUUGACGUUACUCGCAGAAGAAGCACCGGCUAACUCCGUGCCAGCAGCCGCGGUAAUACGGAGGGUGCAAGCGUUAAUCGGAAUUGCUGGGCGUAAAGCGCACGCAGGCGGUUUGUUAAGUCAGAUGUGAAAUCCCCGGGCUCAACCUGGGAACUGCAUUUGAAACUGGCAAGCUAGAGUCUCGUAGAGGGGGGUAGAAUUCCAGGUGUAGCGGUGAAAUGCGUAGAGAUCUGGAGGAAUACCGGUGGCGAAGGCGGCCCCCCUGGACGAAGACUGACGCUCAGGCUGCGAAAGCGUGGGGCAGCAAACAGGAUUAGAUACCCUGGUAGUCCACGCUGUAAACGAUGUCGAUUUGGAGGUUGUGCCCUUGAGGCGUGGCUUCCGGAGCUAACGCGUUAAAGUCGACCGCCUGGGGGAG